Molecule: ribosomal RNA, 497 nt
Filed under: uncultured bacterium
Lineage: Bacteria
Description: partial 16S ribosomal RNA
Rfam family: Bacterial small subunit ribosomal RNA
Source: RNAcentral
GAUGAACGCUGGCGGCGUGCCUAAUACAUGCAAGUCGAGCGAACAGACGAGGAGCUUGCUCCUCUGACGUUAGCGGCGGACGGGUGAGUAACACGUGGAUAACCUACCUAUAAGACUGGGAUAACUUCGGGAAACCGGAGCUAAUACCGGAUAAUAUAUUGAACCGCAUGGUUCAAUAGUGAAAGACGGUUUUGCUGUCACUUAUAGAUGGAUCCGCGCCGCAUUAGCUAGUUGGUAAGGUAACGGCUUACCAAGGCAACGAUGCGUAGCCGACCUGAGAGGGUGAUCGGCCACACUGGAACGGGGACAGGGUCCAGACGCCUACGGGAGGCAGCAGUAGGGUAUCUUCCGCAAUGGGCGAAAGCCUGACGGAGCAGCGCCGCGUGAGUGAUGAAGGUCUUCGGAUCGUAAAACUCUGUUAUUAGGGAAGAACAAAUGUGUAAGUAACUAUGCACGUCUUGACGGUACCUAAUCAGAAAGCCACGGCUAACUACGUG